GCUGUGAUGGCCGAGUGGUGUAGGUGUUGGACUAGAAAUCCAAUAGGGGUUCCCUGCGCAGGUUCGAAUCCUGCUCACAGUG
Transfer RNA from Callipepla squamata (scaled quail), 82 nucleotides. It matches the Rfam family "tRNA". Rfam says of the family: Transfer RNA (tRNA) molecules are approximately 80 nucleotides in length. NCBI's taxonomy places the organism in Eukaryota, Metazoa, Chordata, Aves, Galliformes, Odontophoridae. The record is from Rfam.